GAGGCACAGAAGCAUUUGACGUUUUAUGAACUUGAUUUAGGGCUUAAUCAUGUGUCUAGGAAGUGGUCUGAGCAGGUUGAUAAUGGGGCAAAUAUGCUCGUUACAGUGCCUGGAGGUGGGGAUGGACCAAGUGGAGUUUUGGUCUGUGCGGAGAAUUUUGUAAUUUAUAAGAAUGACGGUCACUCAGAUGUGAGAGCAGUGAUUCCGAGGCGCGCAGAUUUACCUGCUGAGCGAGGGGUUUUGGUAGUUUCUGCAGCUACACAUAAGCAAAAGUCCAUGUUUUUCUUUCUUUUGCAGACAGAGUACGGUGAUAUCUUCAAGGUUACAUUGGAUCAUGAGAAUGAUAAGGUGAAGGAAUUGAAAAUUAAGUAUUUUGAUACAAUUCCUGUUACUACUUCAAUGUGUGUGUUGAAAUCAGGGUUUUUGUUUGCUGCAUCAGAGUUUGGGAAUCAUGCACUGUAUCAAUUUCAGGCAAUUGGGGAGGAAGCUGAUGUGGAGGCCUCAUCAGCUACUUUAAUGGAAACUGAGGAAGGUUUCCAGCCUGUGUUUUUCCAGCCAAGAGGGUUGAAGAAUCUUGUUAGAAUUGACCAGGUUGAGAGCUUGAUGCCUAUUAUGGAUAUGAAGGUUGCUAAUCUUUUUGAUGAGGAAACCCCUCAGAUAUUUUCACUUUGUGGGCGUGGUCCUCGGUCUUCAUUGAGGAUAUUGAGGCCAGGUUUGGCCAUUAGUGAGAUGGCUGUUUCACAGCUUCCGGGUGUACCAAGUGCAGUCUGGACUGUGAAAAAGAAUGUUAAUGAUGAGUUUGA
Molecule: unclassified non-coding RNA, 803 nt
Filed under: Hevea brasiliensis (rubber tree)
Lineage: Eukaryota; Viridiplantae; Streptophyta; Magnoliopsida; Malpighiales; Euphorbiaceae
Source: RNAcentral